This 277-nucleotide long non-coding RNA is filed under the name Elaeis guineensis (African oil palm). RNAcentral's name for it is "long non-coding RNA (EGUI_LNC025394)". The record is from RNAcentral. Lineage: Eukaryota; Viridiplantae; Streptophyta; Magnoliopsida; Arecales; Arecaceae.
UGGCCUCCUAUCCACACAUACUCCCUCUUGAUUGGAGGGCUGUGUUGUUGUGGUGUAGAGAGGACUUUUUUAGUUCCUCCAGUUAUGAAUCAAGAGGAAAUAUAAUUUAUUUGGAUUGGAACUUUCUCUCCCAAUGUGAGGCGCUUUUUAAAAGAUAAAAUCGUGAGGCUAUGCGAAGGCGAAGGCAAUACUUCACGAAUGCGAAGAUGAAGAUAUAAACCAACCAUCUGAGCCAUUCAAUCUCUUGACUCAUAACCACAACAUCAUGAAACCUAGG